CCUACGGGUUGUGAAGGACUUUUGUCAGGGAAGAAAAGGCUGUUGCUAAUAUCGACAGCUGAUGACGGUACCUGAAGAAUAAGCACCGGCUAACUACGUGCCAGCAGCCGCGGUAAUACGUAGGGUGCGAGCGUUAAUCGGAAUUACUGGGCGUAAAGCGAGCGCAGACGGUUACUUAAGCAGGAUGUGAAAUCCCCGGGCUCAACCUGGGAACUGCGUUCUGAACUGGGUGACUAGAGUGUGUCAGAGGGAGGUAGAAUUCCACGUGUAGCAGUGAAAUGCGUAGAGAUGUGGAGGAAUACCGAUGGCGAAGGCAGCCUCCUGGGAUAACACUGACGUUCAUGCUCGAAAGCGUGGGUAGCAAACAGGAUUAGAUACCCCAGUAGUC
RNAcentral lists this ribosomal RNA (388 nucleotides) under uncultured Neisseria sp. RNAcentral describes it as "bacterial SSU rRNA". It matches the Rfam family "Bacterial small subunit ribosomal RNA", at positions 415 to 795 of the family's 1533-position model. Lineage: Bacteria; Pseudomonadati; Pseudomonadota; Betaproteobacteria; Neisseriales; Neisseriaceae. The record is from RNAcentral.